RNAcentral lists this small nuclear RNA (217 nucleotides) under Erinaceus europaeus (western European hedgehog). Its description in RNAcentral is "7SK RNA". It matches the Rfam family "7SK RNA". From Rfam's summary of the family: 7SK was discovered as an abundant small nuclear RNA in the mid-70s but a possible function has only recently been suggested. Two independent studies have found that 7SK RNA binds the CDK9/cyclin T complex (known as elongation factor P-TEFb). P-TEFb activates transcription by phosphorylating the C-terminal domain of RNA polymerase II. Lineage: Eukaryota; Metazoa; Chordata; Mammalia; Eulipotyphla; Erinaceidae. The record is from Rfam by way of RNAcentral.
GGUUCAAGCCCCAGGCUCUCCACCUGCAGGGAGUAUGCUUCACAAGCAGUGAAGGAUGGCCUUCCCUGAAUAGAGACGGACUGGUCUUCGGUAGAGGGUAUACAAGUAGUUGCGCUCCACUGCUAGAACCUCCAAACAAGCUCUCGAGAAGGCGUAGCCACUUUGUUCCUUAUGAAGUAAAUACUAGAAAACUUCUUUUGGAGGGCUGCUGUUUUGG